GUCUUCAGCUCGUUUGUGUGGGGAGCUGUGGCCUACACACGCUACACAACUCCUUCAAGUGUGGGUUCACUGUAUGGCAGCUGGACAAAUUGCUGAGAGCAAUACACACAUUGUUUCACAAUACGCCUGCCAGGAGAGAGGAUUACAUCACCGUAACCAAGUCCAGUGUGUUCCCUCUAUCUUUCUGUGCCCAUCGUUGGGUAGAAAACCUUCCGGUUGUGGAGAGAGCCCUGGCAGUCUGGCCAUCAUUUCUCCUGUACAUGGAAGCUGUGAAAACAAAGAGACUCCCGAACCCUGGAACAGCAUCAUAUGACACAGUUGCAGCAGCCAUAAAGGAUCCACUCGUCUUGGCCAAAUUGCAGUUCUACGCAGCAAUUGCCAGGACCUUCAAUCCCUUCCUGAAAAAAUAUCAGACGGAUGAGCCUGUGCUCCCAUUCCUCCCCAAAGGACCUGACCGAGUUGAUGAUGUCUACCCAGACGCUUCAUAAAGAGAGAAGUACUACACGAUAUCACUGCCCUGCAGCUGACCAAACUGGAUGUCACAAACAAGACCAUCUGGCUCAGCCCACAAGACAUCAGCAUUGGUCUAGGUGCAGAGUCAGUCCUUAAGAGAAUCAAAGGUGCAGAGCUCAGGGUGCUCGAGUUCAAGAGAGAGUGCAUGCAGGGACUGAGUAACAUGAUCAAGAAAGUGCAGGACAAGAGCCCCCUCAAGUAUCUGACUGUUAGGCAGAUGGUGUGCCUGAAUCCGUCAGUAAUGUAUAGAGAACCAGAAAGAGGCAGGAAUCACAUGAAAGGGCUGGUUCAAAGGUUUCUCCAGGACAAACAGCUUACUGAUACUUCUUCGGGGGAUGUCAUACUGCAGCAGUUUGACAGUCUCCUUUCCUUGGAGAGCCGGAGUGAGGACUUCCUCUCCUUUCAAACCAUGCAGACGAGGCUGGACAUCUUCCUGAGCAGCGCCAUGGAGCCUUAUCCCGAGCUGUGGGCCUUCUGCAAGAAGCUGCUCAUCCUCAUCCACGGUCAAGCUACAGUUGAGCGUGGAUUCUCAAUCAAUAAAGAGGUGGAGUCUGAUAACUUGGCGGAGGAUACAGUGGUCACACGGAGACUGGUGUGUGACUACAUCAUACAACAUGGAGGUGUUACCAAGGUUCCACUCAGUAAACCGCUACUGGAAAGUGUAGCAAGGGCAAGGACAAGGUAUCGUACCCAUCUGGAGACCAAAAGAAGGAACAGGGAGGCAAAAGACCAGGCUCUCAAGAGGAGGGAAGCAGAGGACUGUCUUGAGGAGCUGAAGGUUAAGAGGAGACGUGUACAGGAGGUAUCUGAGGGUCUGGCUAGGGAUGCAGACAAGAUGGCUGAGGAGGCUGAAGCGAAGGCAGGGAGCAAGAUGGCUGGCCUGAUCACCAGGUCAAACAUUCUGCGGAGAGGCCAUAAGGAGAAGUUGGCAGAACUGGCUCUCCUUGAUAAAGAGAUCGCUGCUAAGAGUGCAGAGCUUAGGAGUUGACUGUGUGAUCAUAAUUUUAUUUAUUGUUGAGUUGAUUUUCAUUGUUUAUUGCUCAGGAGUCUGUGCUGUUGGCGUAAGUACUCACCACUAUGCUGCAAUGUUCCAUCAUUCCAUAAUGCUUUACAGUCCACAUUUUCACAUUUGUUGAAAUAAAUGAACACAUUUUGAACAAACGCUGUCGGUAGGUCUGUGAAAUAGGCCG
Molecule: long non-coding RNA, 1703 nt
Organism: Gadus morhua (Atlantic cod)
Lineage: Eukaryota; Metazoa; Chordata; Actinopteri; Gadiformes; Gadidae
Source: Ensembl